AGAGCGAACGCUGGCGGCAGGCUUAACACAUGCAAGUCGAGCGGGCGGUAGCAAUACGGUCAGCGGCAGACGGGUGAGUAACGCGUGGGAACGUACCUUUUGGUUCGGAACAACACAGGGAAACUUGUGCUAAUACCGGAUAAGCCCUUACGGGGAAAGAUUUAUCGCCGAAAGAUUGGCCCGCGUCUGAUUAGCUAGUUGGUGAGGUAACGGCUCACCAAGGCGACGAUCAGUAGCUGGUCUGAGAGGAUGAUCAGCCACAUUGGGACUGAGACACGGCCCAAACUCCUACGGGAGGCAGCAGUGGGGAAUAUUGGACAAUGGGCGCAAGCCUGAUCCAGCCAUGCCGCGUGAGUGAUGAAGGCCCUAGGGUUGUAAAGCUCUUUUUGUGCGGGAAGAUAAUGACGGUACCGCAAGAAUAAGCCCCGGCUAACUUCGUGCCAGCAGCCGC
This 451-nucleotide ribosomal RNA is filed under the name uncultured bacterium. RNAcentral's name for it is "SSU rRNA". It matches the Rfam family "Bacterial small subunit ribosomal RNA", at positions 26 to 518 of the family's 1533-position model. The record is from RNAcentral.